RNAcentral lists this ribosomal RNA (253 nucleotides) under uncultured bacterium. RNAcentral describes it as "partial 16S ribosomal RNA". It matches the Rfam family "Bacterial small subunit ribosomal RNA", at positions 524 to 776 of the family's 1533-position model. The record is from RNAcentral.
UACAGAGGGGGCAAGCGUUAUUCGGAAUUAUUGGGCGUAAGGGGCGCGUAGGCGGCCAUUCAAGUGACGGGUGAAAGCCCUCGGCUUAACCGAGGAACUGCCUGUCAGACUGGAUGGCUUGAGACCGGGAGAGGUGAGUGGAAUUCCCAGUGUAGCGGUGAAAUGCGUAGAUAUUGGGAGGAACACCAGUGGCGAAGGCGGCUCACUGGACCGGAACUGACGCUGAGGCGCGAAAGCGUGGGGAGCAAACAGG